RNAcentral lists this unclassified non-coding RNA (457 nucleotides) under Hevea brasiliensis (rubber tree). The record is from RNAcentral. Lineage: Eukaryota; Viridiplantae; Streptophyta; Magnoliopsida; Malpighiales; Euphorbiaceae.
UCCUUCCAUCCAAAUAAGAGUUGUAAAGAUAAAUUAAGGAAAUUUCCUCUCAUUUUUCUCUCUCCGCUCUCUUUCCUUCCUCACUUUGUUUCCCAAACAGUGUUAAAGAUCGAUGGGUCUUCUUGAUAGCAUGCUAUUGAUAUUAACGAUUAUUGAAAUUGUUUGUAAUAUAGUUUAAUUUAGAAGGACUGAUUAGGAAUUAGGAAGGAAAACCUUUGUCUAGUUGGUGUUGUAGAUUAUAAUUACCCAUGUAAGUAAAAGUAUAAUUUUUUAGUAUUCUAAUAUAGAAUUGUGGCAGCAAGGACUAGUUUGGGAACAGGGAAUCUUGCCCAUUUAGUAUAUGAUUAUUUAACUAGAAUGGGAUCUUUUAGUUUUUUCUUAUGCUCUUUUUGUUUUAUGGAAAAUAACUUGUAUAUAAAAGUGUUUUUCAUGGAAAAUGUUUUCUAAAAAAAUAUUU